This 688-nucleotide long non-coding RNA is filed under the name Cricetulus griseus (Chinese hamster). RNAcentral describes it as "lncRNA (ENSCGRG00015035989.1)". Lineage: Eukaryota; Metazoa; Chordata; Mammalia; Rodentia; Cricetidae. The record is from RNAcentral.
CUUGCUGACCGUACUAGACAGCAUAUAAGACUGGACUUCUGCUUGCCUUAGUCCUGGAAAGAGAGAAGCUAGAGCUGGGACAGAAAGCCCUCAUUUUUGAGAAUGUAUCCUUAAAAGAAGUCAACAACCUUCUGAAAGAAUAGCAAUCAGCAACAUCAUCAACACAAGAAAAUGCAAGAACACACUUGCAGAUACCCCAAGACUUUUUAUUCACAACAGUACACAAAGACAUUGAAGAUGGCUACAAUAAUGUCUUAAAUCUUAGUAAAUAAAUGGUGGUGGGAGGAGUCCUGGAAAUGAUAUAGACUCCAUUUUUAUUAUCCAAAAUGACAAUGGUUCUGAGCCUGAGUAAGGGGAUGUUUCUGAUGCAAUAUCUCAGGAUUACAACAAAUCAAAUCAAGUCACCUCAAGGUACCAUGAAGAGUCUCAGAGGGCAUCUUCUUCUGUAGGUUUCCUGGUGGAGGAGGUAUAACCAGAGAUUAUCUCCAGGCCAGAACAGUCUGAAGACUGCCUGAUCCAUGAAGUGAAAUCCAAACAUAAGGGUAACCAAGAGAGAAUCCACAGAGAGUCUAAGACUUACAAAUGUGAGAAAUUCCCCAGAGCAUUAAAAUAUCCCUCUAGGCUUUUAGCCCACCAGAGAAGACACAAGAGGGAGAAGUCGUUUAUCUGUACCAGGUGUCAAAAGGGC